UAAAAAUUGAUUUUAGAUUCCGAUACUGGCAAGUUCGGAUGAAGGAGGGAGAUGAAGCAAAGACUACGGUGGUAACCAAAUAUGGAGACUUUGAAUUUAAAGUGAUGCCUUUUAGUUUAACAAAUGCUCCAGCAACGUUUUGUACUAUGAUGAAUCAAGUAUUUAACGGGUUCUUAGAUGAUUUUGUCGUAGUGUACUUAGACGACAUAAUAAUCUACAACAAGACAUUGGAAGAACAUGUGCAACAUGUGAGGCAAGUUUUUAAUCGACUACGGGAGAAUUAACUCUAUGCCAAAUCGUCUAAAUGCUCAUUUGCUCUAACAUCUAUCAGUUUUUUAUGUCACAUUAUUGAUCAAGAUAAAAUUUACAUGGAUUCGAAGAAGGUUACAGUCAUCAAAGAUUGGCAACCACCAAAAAUCGUACAUGAUGUACGUUAAGAUUUGUGAAAUGCUACUCAGAAAUUGUACUGCCAUUUACCGAAUUGACAAAGAAGGAUAAGGAUUGUGAUUGAUCGUCCCAAUGUCAAACUACUUUUGAAAGGUUGAAGAAGUCCAUGUGGACGAACUUGAUUUUAGCCUUAUCGAGUAUGACUAAAUCAUUCGAAAUUCAUACAGAUGCUUCAGAUUUUGCACUUGGUGGAGUCCUUAUGCAAGAAGGACAUCCGGUAGCAUAUGAAAGUCGAAAGUUAAACCAAACAGAACGUCAUUACUCGGCGCAUGAAAAGGAAUUGUUGGCAGUAGCCCAUUAUCUUAGAGGAUGACGUCACUAUUUGCUUGGGUCUUCAUUUAUUGUGAAGAUAGAUAACACUGCGGUUAGUCAUUUCAUGUCUUAAUCAAAACUAUCGAGCAAGCAUGCUCAUUUGUAGGAAUUUCUUUCAGAGUUCAAUUUUAUGCUAGAGUAUCGUCCUAGAUCUAGUAAUCAUGUUGCUGAUGCUCUUAGUCGAC
RNAcentral lists this long non-coding RNA (944 nucleotides) under Olea europaea subsp. europaea. The record is from RNAcentral. Lineage: Eukaryota; Viridiplantae; Streptophyta; Magnoliopsida; Lamiales; Oleaceae.